Molecule: ribosomal RNA, 253 nt
Filed under: uncultured bacterium
Lineage: Bacteria
Description: partial 16S ribosomal RNA
Rfam family: Bacterial small subunit ribosomal RNA
Source: RNAcentral
UACGUAGGGGGCAAGCGUUGUCCGGAUUUAUUGGGCGUAAAGAGCGUGUAGGCGGCUUUACAGGUCCGUUGUGAAAACUCGAGGCUCAACCUCGAGACGUCGGCGGAAACCAUCUGGCUAGAGUCCGGAAGAGGAGAGUGGAAUUCCUGGUGUAGCGGUGAAAUGCGCAGAUAUCAGGAGGAACACCGGUGGCGAAGGCGGAUCUCUGGGCCUUACCUGACGCUGAGGAGCGAAAGCAUGGGGAGCAAACAGG